This 207-nucleotide ribosomal RNA is filed under the name uncultured bacterium. RNAcentral's name for it is "partial 16S ribosomal RNA". It matches the Rfam family "Bacterial small subunit ribosomal RNA", at positions 1294 to 1500 of the family's 1533-position model. The record is from RNAcentral.
CAGAUUGCAGGCUGCAACUCGCCUGCAUGAAGUCGGAAUUGCCAGUAAUCGUAGGUCAGCAUACUACGGUGAAUACGUUCCCGGGCCUUGUACACACCGCCCGUCAAACCAUGAGAGUUGGCAACACCCGAAGUCGGUAGUCUAACCGCAAGGAGGACGCCGCCGAAGGUGGGGUUGAUGAUUAGGGUUAAGUCGUAACAAGGUAAC